Molecule: ribosomal RNA, 373 nt
Filed under: uncultured Glomeromycotina
Lineage: Eukaryota; Fungi; Glomeromycota
Description: eukaryotic LSU rRNA
Source: RNAcentral
UUGAAAGGGAAACGAUUGAAGUCAGUCGUACUUGCGGGUAAUCAGCCUUUUGGGUGUGAUUCUGUGGAGCGUGGGGAGUUAAACGCCUUCAUGCCUGCGUAUUCGUGCACUUUGGGUGUACUUGCCCGUGUGGUAGGUUAACAUCAAUUUUGAUCAUCAUAAAAUGGCUGGAGGAAUGUAGCUUCGACCUCGUAUUGAAGUGUUAUAGCCUUCGGCAGAUGUGAUGAUCGGGAUUGAGGAUUGCAACGGAUACCCUUCGGGGCUACCUGUCUGAUCUCUGAUUGUUGCUCUGGUGCCGAAAGCGUGCUUACGGUUAUCAAAGUCGAUGGUCAACAGGUUAGAACGGGUUAAAUUCGUUAAGGAUGUUGACGUA